Small nuclear RNA from Ictidomys tridecemlineatus (thirteen-lined ground squirrel), 107 nucleotides. NCBI's taxonomy places the organism in Eukaryota, Metazoa, Chordata, Mammalia, Rodentia, Sciuridae. The record is from Ensembl.
GUGCUUGCUUCAGCAGCACAUAUACUAAAAUUGGAAUGAUACAGAGAAGAUUAGCAUGGCCCCUGCACAAGGAUGACACACAAAUCUGUGAAACAUUUCAUAUUUUU